RNAcentral lists this ribosomal RNA (253 nucleotides) under uncultured bacterium. RNAcentral describes it as "partial 16S ribosomal RNA". It matches the Rfam family "Bacterial small subunit ribosomal RNA", at positions 524 to 776 of the family's 1533-position model. The record is from RNAcentral.
UACGUAGGGGGCAAGCGUUGUCCGGAAUCACUGGGCGUAAAGGGCGCGUAGGCGGCUCGGUAAGUAGGGGGUGAAAUCCUGCGGCUUAACCGCAGGGCUGCCUUCUAAACUGUCGAGCUUGAGCACGGUAGAGGCAGAUGGAAUUCCCGGUGUAGCGGUGGAAUGCGUAGAGAUCGGGAAGAACAUCAGUGGCGAAGGCGGUCUGCUGGGCCGUUGCUGACGCUGAGGCGCGACAGCGUGGGGAGCAAACAGG